UUAGUUUCUCGGCCUUUUGGCUAAGAUUAAGUGUAGUAUCUGUUCUUAUCAGUUUUAUUAAUAAUUUUGUAAAGAGGGAGAAACGUUCACCGACUCCUGUUGAAGAACCCUCC
This 113-nucleotide small nuclear RNA is filed under the name Bos grunniens (domestic yak). Its description in RNAcentral is "U2 spliceosomal RNA (ENSBGRG00000022100.1)". It matches the Rfam family "U2 spliceosomal RNA". Rfam says of the family: U2 is a small nuclear RNA (snRNA) component of the spliceosome (involved in pre-mRNA splicing). Complementary binding between U2 snRNA (in an area lying towards the 5' end but 3' to hairpin I) and the branchpoint sequence (BPS) of the intron results the bulging out of an unpaired adenosine, on the BPS, which initiates a nucleophilic attack at the intronic 5' splice site, thus starting the first of two transesterification reactions that mediate splicing. Lineage: Eukaryota; Metazoa; Chordata; Mammalia; Artiodactyla; Bovidae. The record is from Rfam by way of RNAcentral.